GGACAUAGCUCAGUGAUAGACCACAUGUUUAGCACACAUGAGGUCCUGAGUUCAAUCCCCAGUACGUCCU
RNAcentral lists this transfer RNA (70 nucleotides) under Camelus bactrianus (Bactrian camel). It matches the Rfam family "tRNA". From Rfam's summary of the family: Transfer RNA (tRNA) molecules are approximately 80 nucleotides in length. Their secondary structure includes four short double-helical elements and three loops (D, anti-codon, and T loops). RNAcentral also lists the same sequence under 1 other name. Lineage: Eukaryota; Metazoa; Chordata; Mammalia; Artiodactyla; Camelidae. The record is from Rfam by way of RNAcentral.